Molecule: ribosomal RNA, 476 nt
Filed under: uncultured bacterium
Lineage: Bacteria
Description: partial 16S ribosomal RNA
Rfam family: Bacterial small subunit ribosomal RNA
Source: RNAcentral
AGUGAACGCUGGCGGCGUGCCUAACACAUGCAAGUCGAACGAUGAUUGAGAGCUUGCUCUCAUGAUUAGUGGCGCACGGGUGAGUAUACCAUAGAUAAUGUACCUCUUAGUUCGGGAUAGCCACCGGAAACGGUGAUUAACACCGGAUACUCCUUCUUGUCUCAAGGCAAGUCGGGAAAGUUUUUUCGCUAAGAGAUCAGUCUAUGUCCUAUCAGCUAGUUGGUGAGGUAAUGGCUCACCAAGGCAAUGACGGGUAUCUGGUUUGAGAGGAUGAUCAGACACACUGGAACUGCGGCACGGUCCAGACUCCUACGGGAGGCAGCAGUGAGGAAUAUUGCACAAUGGAGGAAACUCUGAUGCAGCAACGCCGCGUGGAGGAUGACGCAUUUCGGUGUGUAAACUCCUUUUAAGAGGGAAGAUAAUGACGGUACCUCUUGAAUAAGCACCGGCUAACUCCGUGCCAGCCGCCGCCGUAA